RNAcentral lists this ribosomal RNA (581 nucleotides) under Triticum aestivum (bread wheat). RNAcentral describes it as "partial small subunit ribosomal RNA". Lineage: Eukaryota; Viridiplantae; Streptophyta; Magnoliopsida; Poales; Poaceae. The record is from RNAcentral.
ACACCUCCAGCGCCGAACGCCGCCCCCGACGACUUACUCCAGCUCCUGCCCCAUGUCGCCGCUCCGCUGUCCCUGAACCGUCGAGCUCGUCCUGUCGUCGUCUCGAACGGAACUUGCUUCUUCUGCCCGCCGCCGCGACGUCUUAGUCCGCCCCUACCCGCGCUUCAGCUGCUGCCGCUGCGCCAGCAGCUCGUCCCCUACGGUACCGUACCACGAACGGAGGACGUCAAAGGACCUCUACUGUCUCUCAUUCACUCUCUCCCUUUUGCCUCCCUUGCCCUCUUCCUCUUCGUUGCUCCCCUCGCCCCAGGCCGGACUACCUUCACCAGCGGCUGCCACUGCCAAGCGGCCCCGCCGCCCAGUGCUCCUCCUCGCGAGCUCGUAGACGCGCGACCUAGCUCCCGAGCUCCUCGUGGAGAGGACACCACGACCUGUGCGUGCCCUCGUCCCUUCCCCUCCGCCGAUGCUCGACCAACCCACCUAGCCCAUCCCCUAGGGCUACUCCUAAAAACCUAGCCCGUUCUAGGGCUCCACCCCCUCUGGUCCACCUCAAUCACCGCCGCGUUCCUCCCCUUACCUAC